GCCCAGUGUGCAAUGACUGCAAAGAGCAGCCUUCUUGGUGGUGUACGCAGCCUGUUGCCUAUACAGUUGGCCCUAAGGGACCUUGGAGACAACUCUUUCCAGUGGACAAUUACGAUUGGCUUGCUGUCUCCAGUCUAGGCUCCAGACAGCAGCCCCCUGGUGAACAGUCUCAACAAGAGGAACCACCAAAGAGUGAGGACAUUCUACCUGGUCAAGGGAGAGAGGAUGAAGGAGCACCUGUUAUUCAAGGACCUAACCUGGAAGUUGAUCGACUGGAACUGACUGGAGAUCAGAUCAGAUCAGUCCCUCAGUCGUGUCCGACUCGUUGCGAGCCCAUGAAUUGCAGCACGCCAGGCCUCCCUGUCCAUCACCAACUCCCGGAGUUCACCCAGAU
RNAcentral lists this long non-coding RNA (394 nucleotides) under Bos indicus x Bos taurus (hybrid cattle). Its description in RNAcentral is "lncRNA (ENSBIXG00000027655.1)". The stretch from base 1 to 94 matches the Rfam family "Small nucleolar RNA SNORA70", at positions 42 to 135 of the family's 135-position model. Lineage: Eukaryota; Metazoa; Chordata; Mammalia; Artiodactyla; Bovidae. The record is from RNAcentral.